Molecule: ribosomal RNA, 253 nt
Filed under: uncultured prokaryote
Description: partial 16S ribosomal RNA
Rfam family: Bacterial small subunit ribosomal RNA
Source: RNAcentral
ACGAAGGGGGCUAGCGUUGCUCGGAAUGACUGGGCGUAAAGGGCGCGUAGGCGGUUUGGUUCGUUAGGCGUGAAAUUCCUGGGCUCAACCUGGGGACUGCGUUUAAUACAGCCAGACUUGAGUGUGGAAGAGGGUCGUGGAAUUCCCAGUGUAGAGGUGAAAUUCGUAGAUAUUGGGAAGAACACCGGUGGCGAAGGCGGCGACCUGGUCCAUUACUGACGCUGAGGCGCGAAAGCGUGGGGAGCAAACAGGA